GGAAAACAUGAAUGUCGGGUG
This 21-nucleotide microRNA is filed under the name Medicago truncatula (barrel medic). RNAcentral describes it as "mtr-miR2592bm-3p". The record is from miRBase by way of RNAcentral. Lineage: Eukaryota; Viridiplantae; Streptophyta; Magnoliopsida; Fabales; Fabaceae.